CGGGUUGUAAGUUAAAUAAACUAUCAGACUUCAAAUCUGAAUAUAUCCUUUAAGGGGGUCAGCCUGA
RNAcentral lists this transfer RNA (67 nucleotides) under Saccostrea cuccullata (small rock oyster). RNAcentral describes it as "Saccostrea cucullata (small rock oyster) tRNA-Trp". It matches the Rfam family "tRNA". From Rfam's summary of the family: Transfer RNA (tRNA) molecules are approximately 80 nucleotides in length. Their secondary structure includes four short double-helical elements and three loops (D, anti-codon, and T loops). The record is from RNAcentral. RNAcentral also lists the same sequence under 1 other name. Lineage: Eukaryota; Metazoa; Mollusca; Bivalvia; Ostreida; Ostreidae.